This 376-nucleotide long non-coding RNA is filed under the name Elaeis guineensis (African oil palm). Its description in RNAcentral is "long non-coding RNA (EGUI_LNC012202)". Lineage: Eukaryota; Viridiplantae; Streptophyta; Magnoliopsida; Arecales; Arecaceae. The record is from RNAcentral.
AUCUUUUCAAGCUCCGGAGAGCGAAUCAGCCAAGGUAAUAAGCCUGCAAUCAAGAACGCAGGUUAGAAGAGAGACAAAGAAAUCAACCACUGCCAAAAUCCCGCUUCCGCGGAGCAGAGAUCGAAGGGAUCGAACCCGGAGAUUUAGAACUCAAGAAUCAAAGAAAAAGAUAGGGUAGGAACCCUAAAUUUACCGUUUCGGGAAGGAAAAUUCUCGAGCCCUAAUUACAACACGAGAAAGAGGCGAAGAAAAAUUACGCUCGCGAGGCCUAGAAGAAAGUAUUUAAACAGUAGAGCCUUCGAUUCUGAUUCCUUCCGGGAGCGAGGUUCAUUUACACUGGAAAUCGGGUGGUCGGUAACGGGUCAGUUGAGGUUCG